Molecule: ribosomal RNA, 279 nt
Filed under: uncultured bacterium
Lineage: Bacteria
Description: partial 16S ribosomal RNA
Rfam family: Bacterial small subunit ribosomal RNA
Source: RNAcentral
UGCCAGCCGCCGCGGUAAGACGGAGGGCGCAAGCGUUGUUCGGAUUCACUGGGCAUAAAGGGCGCGUAGGUGGUCUAGUCAGUUGGGUGUGAAAGCCCCCGGCCCAACCGGGGAAUUGCAUUCAAUACUGCUAGACUUGAGAGCAGGAGGGGUGGAUGGAACUCCAGGUGGAACGGUGAAAUGUGUAGAUAUCUGGAGGAACACCGGUGGCGAAAGCGGUCCACUGGCCUGCUACUGACACUGAGGCGCGAAAGCCAGGGGAGCGAACGGGAUUAGAUA